CAGCACGAACCCUUUGCUCUCUCACUUUCUUCCAUCCCCAAAUCCCCCUGCAUCUGUUCUACCCACCUUCCACACCUUCACGGGAAGCUUCGCUUUGGUGACAACCUUGAAGACGAAUGGUUCACUGUGUUUCUUCUUUUCCACAUUUCCAAGUGUUUUCCUUCUCUUUCAAUCCGAGUUUGGGACACGGACGGUGAAUUUCUGCUUAUCGAG
RNAcentral lists this unclassified non-coding RNA (213 nucleotides) under Hevea brasiliensis (rubber tree). Lineage: Eukaryota; Viridiplantae; Streptophyta; Magnoliopsida; Malpighiales; Euphorbiaceae. The record is from RNAcentral.